Molecule: long non-coding RNA, 635 nt
Organism: Quercus robur (English oak)
Lineage: Eukaryota; Viridiplantae; Streptophyta; Magnoliopsida; Fagales; Fagaceae
Exons: 3
Source: RefSeq, a predicted model, not a curated record
UCAGAUUUGUAAAAACCCCAACGGCUCUCUCUCGACAUUCUCUUCGCUCUCCCUUCUCUCCGAAACCACCACCACCACCGGCGCUGGUGGUACCGAAACAAACCCACUCUUCUCCACCGUACGACGCAUCAACACUCCCAAUCUCCACCUCGGCCGUCCGAUCAUUCUGAUCUUCGUCUCUCCGUCUCUUCAUCCAACGGCCUCGAUCAAUCCUCCGCCUCUUACUUCUCUGAUCGCGACUUUGUUUACCCUUCCUUUCUCGGUGCCUAUCCUAAUACUAAUAGAACUCGCGUCCACGUCAGGCGAGUCAACUCGGGGCGAGGAGGACUCAGGGACUUAAUCACUCUCUCAUUCUAUAUAUUACUUGGAAAUUGUGUAUUUGCAUGCUAUAGUAUUAUUUGCUAACAUGGAGAGGAGUAUUGUGGUGGAGGAGAAUCAUUGUAAGAGCAAUGUUAGUUAAUUCCGUCUCCAAGUCAGAUGGGCCGUUUAUUCAGAUCAACUUUAUAUCUAUAGAUCUUGUUAGUGCUGAGGAGAAGAGUGAUGCUGGAAAGUUAAGCCUUCUCCCUAAUCAUUUUGACUGUAGUUGGCAAUAAAUAUGGAGUUGUCUCUUACCAAUGUUCAGCUGAAUUAUACUU